CCCUUCAGAGGGGGACAACAGUUGGAAACGACUGCUAAUACCGCAUACGAUCUAACCUCGGCAUCGAGGAUAGAUGAAAGGUGGCCUCUACAUGUAAGCUAUCACUGAAGGAGGGGAUUGCGUCUGAUUAGCUAGUUGGAGGGGUAACGGCCCACCAAGGCGAUGAUCAGUAGCCGGUCUGAGAGGAUGAACGGCCACAUUGGGACUGAGACACGGCCCAG
RNAcentral lists this ribosomal RNA (221 nucleotides) under uncultured bacterium. Its description in RNAcentral is "partial 16S ribosomal RNA". It matches the Rfam family "Bacterial small subunit ribosomal RNA", at positions 129 to 334 of the family's 1533-position model. The record is from RNAcentral.